Alexandromys fortis (reed vole) is the source of this 1572-nucleotide long non-coding RNA. RefSeq lists it as uncharacterized. Lineage: Eukaryota; Metazoa; Chordata; Mammalia; Rodentia; Cricetidae. The record is from RefSeq and is a predicted model, not a curated record. The transcript has 3 exons.
AGUCCUUACUGGCUGGGCUUUUCCUGUGCAGUAUAGGUAGAGCUCCAUUCUCACUUCCCAGUUCUUGCUUGUAUUGCAGCGUAGGACCCUUCAAUAACUUUAUUUUUUCCUUCUCAUUGUGUUAAGCCUAUUACCAUGUGGAAUCAUAAUAACAGCCACCAAGAUUCAGGCAGCAGAUUUCUUAACAGCUGAUGCUCACGGCCACUGUAGAGAGAUACACGGUGGAAGUCUCAGGAAGUAUUCAUGUCCCUGCCCUGUGGGAGCCAUUUUAGUUAAGACCCAAUCUUGGAAGCACACUUCCAAAGCGGCUGAUUUUAAAAUCUUGUUUUAAUCAUUAGAGUGAAAAAAAAAACCCCACAGUAUAAAGAGGUAGGAUGCAAAUGCAUCUGAUCAGACCAUGGAAUAGUCAAAUUGGAGCAAGUCUGGAACUAGAUAGCCACACGGAGAAGCCGCUGCCCAGAGUUUAAGUAACUGAUGACACACUGUUAGCCCGGAAGGAAGUACUCUCCUUCAAAUAAGCUUUGAAAUAUAGUGCUUAAAGCAAAUUCUUUCAGUAAUAUCUUAAGCAAAAAUUGAAAAUAUUCAAAUGAGACGAGGGGUUUCUUUUGGUAUGCAAGAAUACUUCAGUUAAUGGAGGUUACUAUAAGAUUAUUCAAAUUAUGAUACAUGUCAUGUGCAGACUUCAUAGAGGACUGAUUUAUGAUUUUGUCACUUGCUCCACCUCCUCCUGGCUUCGCCUUCCCGGGGCUUCCGUUGCUCCCAGCCUGUGGUCUGUCUUCUCCCCCCACUUGUCUCUCAGCACGUUUGUGAGGCAGGCUCAUGUCAACGGAACAACUGCUUGUCAAGUCUGCUUCAUGGUGUUGUAAGGCAACCAUGGCUUCUACAGCCAUGGGACAACUUAAUUCUGAAGGGCGGUAGGACAGCAAAGCCACCUCAACACGUCUUUACCAAGAUCGAAACUCUUGACUAGGAAGGCUAGAAUCCCGAGACUCUGUAAAGAGCCAACGUGGAGUCAGACCUCAGCACAGUGUGAUCCAGGAAGCACAAUGUCUACUCCUUGGGCACCAAAAGGCUUACAAGUCCUGUGAAAUGGUUCAGAAAUCCACAUGCUGAGUAUUCACACCCUGAGAAGACGUACAGAAGGAUGGACUGCAAAGAUGGAUAGAGAAUUAACCGAUGCGCAGCUUUCUUCUCUGACUCAUGACUUAGCAUGGUGACGUCAUCUGGAUCUAGUCCUAGCACACCGCUGGAUGACUUGUGGGAGGCUGGACACAAUGAUGGACUACGGUAAGAAUCUGGGUCCUUUACUAAAAGCAGCUGUAGGAGAUGAAAAAAGUGAGAAGUGGAAGCACCAACCAACGCUGCGCAAAUUAAAAACACACACUUUGUACAAUGCAUGAUGUUUCUGGCGGGAUUUCAUAGAAACACUGGGCAACCUCCUUUGAGCGAUUGCUAGGCACCUGCACAAUUAGAGAAGGUGGCUGCAUUCUUAUUGCUUCAAUGUGCACUGAACAUUGGGUCAGAAAACAAAGGGAGAAUGAAAAGGAGUAAAACAAAAGGAGAUUUGUUGAA